Molecule: ribosomal RNA, 1203 nt
Filed under: uncultured eukaryote
Lineage: Eukaryota
Description: SSU rRNA
Rfam family: Eukaryotic small subunit ribosomal RNA
Source: RNAcentral
CGGUAAUUCCAGCUCCAAUAGCGUAUAUUAAAGUUGUUGCAGUUAAAAAGCUCGUAGUUGAAUUUCUGAUAGAAGGGAGCGGUUCCGCAUUCUUGCGGAUACUGGCUCGUCUUCCGUCAUCCUUGGGCUUAGUCUCGCUGAUAUUAACUUAUCGGCGUGUACGAUGCCCAUCGUUUACUGUGAGCAAAUUAGAGUGUUCAAAGCAGGCAUUUUGCCAUUGAAUAUAUUAGCAUGGAAUAAUAAGAUAGGAUUUCACGAUUUUAUUUUGUUGGUUUGCGUUGUGAAAUAAUGAUUAAGAGGGACAGUUGUGGGUAUUCGUAUUCAGAUGUCAGAGGUGAAAUUCUUAGAUUAUCGGAAGACGAACGACUGCGAAAGCAUUUACCAAGGAUGUUUUCAUUAAUCAAGAACGCAAAGUAUGGGGAUCGAAGAUGAUUACGAUACCAUCGUAGUCUAUACCAUAAACUAUGCCGACUCAGGAUCGGCGGGUCAAUUUUUUUUGCUCGUCGGCACUGUAUGAGAAAUCAAAGUCUUUGGGUUCCGGGGGGAGUAUGGUCGCAAGGCUGGAACUUAAAGAAAUUGACGGAAGGGCACCACCAGGAGUGGAACCUGCGGCUUAAUUUAACUCAACACGGGAAAACUUAUCAGGUCCAGACAUAAUGAGGAUUGACAGAUUGAGAGCUCUUUCUUGAUUUUAUGGGUGGUGGUGCAUGGCCGUUCUUAGUUGGUGGAGUGAUUUGUCUGGUUAAUUCCGUUAACGAACGAGACCCCAGCCUGCUAAAUAAUCACGCGAAUGAUUCUUCAUUGGCGAUGGUUUCUUAGGGGGACAUGUUCGAACAACGAACAGGAGGAUCGGGGCAAUAACAGGUCUGUGAUGCCCUUAGAUGUUCUGAACCGCACGCGUGUUACACUGAUGCAUUCAACGAGCUAUUCAACCUUGGCCGAGAGGCUUGGGAAAUCUUGGAACGUGCAUCGUGAUAGGGAUUGAUUAUUGUAAUUUUUAAUCAUGAACGAGGAAUUCCUAGUAAACGCAGAUCAUCAAUCUGCAUUGAUUACGUCCCUGCCCUUUGUACACACCGCCCGUCGCACCUACCGAUUGAGUGACUCGAUGAAGGCUCGGGAUUGUGGUUAUUGCUUUGCAUUAGGAAUUACUGCGAGAAGUUGUCUGAAUCUCGCCACUUAGAGGAAGGUGAAGUCGUAACAAGG